UAGCUUUGUCUUAAGUCAAACUUCUUCAGUUUGACCAAGUUUAUAGAAAAUCUACUAACAUUUACAAUCUCAAAUGAGAAUAUUAUGAAAAUAUAUAUAAUGACAGCUUUAAUAAAACUAACUUGGAGUUCUAGAUGUUAGUAGAUUUUUUUUCUAUAAACUUGGUCAAACUUGAGAAAAUUUGACUUAGGACGAAGUUAG
RNAcentral lists this microRNA precursor (201 nucleotides) under Brachypodium distachyon (stiff brome). RNAcentral's name for it is "MIR1435 microRNA precursor family". It matches the Rfam family "MIR1435 microRNA precursor family". The record is from Rfam by way of RNAcentral. Lineage: Eukaryota; Viridiplantae; Streptophyta; Magnoliopsida; Poales; Poaceae.